RNAcentral lists this ribosomal RNA (253 nucleotides) under uncultured bacterium. RNAcentral's name for it is "partial 16S ribosomal RNA". It matches the Rfam family "Bacterial small subunit ribosomal RNA", at positions 524 to 776 of the family's 1533-position model. The record is from RNAcentral.
UACGUAGGGUGCGAGCGUUAAUCGGAAUUACUGGGCGUAAAGCGUGCGUAGGCGGUUCGUUGUGUCCUGUGUGAAAGCCCCGGGCUUAACCUGGGAAUGGCAUGGGAAACUGGCGAGCUUGAGUGCGGCAGAGGGGGGUGGAAUUCCGCGUGUAGCAGUGAAAUGCGUAGAGAUGCGGAGGAACACCGAUGGCGAAGGCAGCCCCCUGGGUCGACACUGACGCUCAGGCACGAAAGCGUGGGGAGCAAACAGG